Molecule: unclassified non-coding RNA, 305 nt
Filed under: Loropetalum chinense
Lineage: Eukaryota; Viridiplantae; Streptophyta; Magnoliopsida; Saxifragales; Hamamelidaceae
Description: partial contains external transcribed spacer and 18S ribosomal RNA
Source: RNAcentral
CUGUCCUUUUCGCUAAGCAUCGCUCGGCGGUGCGAGGCGGACUUUGAAGUAGUCCCCGUGGUCCACGCUCUCGCCACACAAGCUGUGGUGCGGUCGUGGCACAUGGGUUCCUACUCGUACUCUUGGAUGCGGAAGCUCGUGAGGGCACGGGGCCUCGGUCCCUAUUCUGCCCAAACAAAGCGUUCGUCGCUCGACACGUACGACAGCCGCGCCCGCGUUGACCUUCCCGACUCUGUUGGCUGGGCUCAUGCGGUGCCGGCGUCGAACAGGAUGCUACCUGGUUGAUCCUGCCAGUAGUCAUAUGC